CCUACGGGGUGCAGCAGUGGGGGAUAUUGGACAAUGGGGGAAACCCUGAUCCAGCGACGCCGCGUGAGUGAAGAAGUAUUUCGGUAUGUAAAGCUCUAUCAGCAGGGAAGAAAGAAAUGACGGUACCUGAGUAAGAAGCCCCGGCUAACUACGUGCAAGCAGCCGCGGUACUACGUAGGGGGCAAGCGUUAUCCGGAAUUACUGGGUGUAAGGGGAGCGUAGACGGUAAUGCAAGUCUGGAGUGAAAGGCGGGGGCCCAACCCCCGGAAUGCACUGGAAACUGUAGGUCUUGAGUACUGGAGAGGCAGACGGAAUUCCUAGUGUAGCGGUGAAAUGCGUAGAUAUGAGAAGGAACUCCAGUGGCGAAGGCGGUCUGCUGGACAGCAACUGACGCUGAGGCGCGAAAGCGUGGGGAGCAAACAGGAUUAGAUACCCCAGUAGUC
Molecule: ribosomal RNA, 443 nt
Filed under: uncultured bacterium
Lineage: Bacteria
Description: partial 16S ribosomal RNA
Rfam family: Bacterial small subunit ribosomal RNA
Source: RNAcentral